Molecule: ribosomal RNA, 301 nt
Filed under: uncultured bacterium
Lineage: Bacteria
Description: partial 16S ribosomal RNA
Rfam family: Bacterial small subunit ribosomal RNA
Source: RNAcentral
CAGUCGCCACGGUAAAACGUAGGUGGCAAGCGUUGUCUGGAAUUAUUGGGCGUAAAGGGCUCGCAGGCGGUUUCCUAAGUCUGAUGUGAAAGCCCCCGGCUCAACCGGGGAGGGUCAUUGGAAACUGGGAAACUUGAGUGCGGAAGGGGAGAGUGGAAUUCCACGUGUAGCGGUGAAAUGCGUAGAGAUGUGGAGGAACCCCAGUGGCGAAGGCGACUCUCUGGUCUGUAACUGACGCUGAGGAGCGAAAGCGUGGGGAGCGAACAGGAUUAGAUACCCCUGUAGUCCCUGUCUCUUAUAC